RNAcentral lists this ribosomal RNA (459 nucleotides) under uncultured bacterium. RNAcentral describes it as "partial 16S ribosomal RNA". It matches the Rfam family "Bacterial small subunit ribosomal RNA", at positions 338 to 795 of the family's 1533-position model. The record is from RNAcentral.
CCUACGGGUGGCAGCAGUGAGGAAUAUUGGUCAAUGGACGAGAGUCUGAACCAGCCAAGUAGCGUGAAGGAUGACUGCCCUAUGGGUUGUAAACUUCUUUUAUAUGGGAAUAAAAUGUUCCACGUGUGGGAUUUUGUAUGUACCAUAUGAAUAAGGAUCGGCUAACUCCGUGCCAGCAGCCGCGGUAAUACGGAGGAUGCGAGCGUUAUCCGGAUUUAUUGGGUUUAAAGGGUGCGCAGGGGGGCUGUUAAGCCGGCGGUAAAAAUUCAGGGCUCAACCCUGUCGAGCCGUCGGAACUGGCAGUCUUGAGUGGGCGAGAAGUAUGCGGAAUGCGUGGUGUAGCGGUGAAAUGCAUAGAUAUCACGCAGAACGCCGAUUGCGAAGGCAGCAUACCGGCGCCCAACUGACGCUGAGGCACGAAAGCGUGGGGAUCGAACAGGAUUAGAUACCCGGGUAGUC